AAGUCGUAACAAGGUUUCCGUAGGUGAACCUGCGGAAGGAUCAUUACCGAGUGGCGCGAAAUUCCUGUCGUGAGACGGGGGAAGCUACCCGACCUUUUGUCAUUUUGUCAAGUCUGGCUGGCGGGAUUGCAUUCGUGAGAAGCGAAUGUGGAUUUCGGCAGACGGACCAAAACUUCGGCGGAAGAGGUAGGCGUGGACCUGCCCGCCGCCGGCCGUAGAAGACAAUAUACAUUCUUGAGAGCAAACUGAAGUCUAAGACGAUCCUUGAAAAAGGAAUACCAAAAAAAAGCAAAACUUUCAACAACGGAUCUCUUGGCUCUG
This 321-nucleotide unclassified non-coding RNA is filed under the name fungal sp. RNAcentral's name for it is "partial internal transcribed spacer region". The stretch from base 1 to 46 matches the Rfam family "Eukaryotic small subunit ribosomal RNA", at positions 1786 to 1831 of the family's 1831-position model. Lineage: Eukaryota; Fungi. The record is from RNAcentral.